This is a long non-coding RNA of Larimichthys crocea (large yellow croaker), 2261 nucleotides long. RefSeq lists it as uncharacterized. Lineage: Eukaryota; Metazoa; Chordata; Actinopteri; Sciaenidae. The transcript has 2 exons. The record is from RefSeq and is a predicted model, not a curated record.
GUUGUAGCCUUACAUUUAAAGGGAAAAUCUGUAAAUUUGAACUUAAUCUCCUCAUUAACUCUCUGCCAGAAAGAGAAGAAGUGAUUUUCUGAAAAUGCCACACCGUUUCUUUAAUGCCGCAUUUUGGAAUUGAAUCAGAACAAAAACAAAACACUCCAGGAGUGCCUCAGACAAACAAAUGGUAUUAAAAUAGAUGGAAAGUCUUAAAGCUAAAAAUGAAAAGGCGCAACCUUGAAAUUAUGCAACAUGGUGUCCUGUCUUUUUAGAACAGUAUGUACAGACAUCAAGAUUAGAUACAAUCACACACAGAGGCACUACUAUAUAAUGCCUGUGGAAAUAUAUAAAACAUCAACAUUUUCCUUAAUAUUUAAGAAAAAACUGCUGUGAAGUGAAAUAUGCGGCUUUCACUGUCUGUCUGUCUAAAAUCUUUAAACAAAAUGUAUGGGAGACUAAUAAAAAUUAGUCAAGGAAAGUUGAAGUUUGCAUAACUGUAUAAACAAACACCUGUGCUCGUUUGGGAGGCACCCAUAUAGAGCGGUUCUACCAAGAGAGAGAGAGAGAGAAAAAAAAGUCUAAACAUGACUAGACUGGUGGGAUGUUGGCCUGAAUCUGAUCCAGUCCAAAUUGCCCUGGCACAAAACAUGCAGUCUGGAGAAAAGGGAAAGGAUGCCUUAAAACUCCCCAAUCACUGACAGUCAUGCAGGAGCCUGCUUGUUACAUCUUUAGUUGUUUUUGGAUGUAGAUCAGUCUACUUGUAGUCCUCGAAAACAUUUUAAUAAUAAGUUACAGAUUCCAACUUAUUGGCAGGGGAUAUUCCUCGUGAAUAGUAAUAAAAUUAGCAAGCACAUAAACAUGUUCAGGUACUUAAGCAAAACAAACAAGAAAUCUAUAUCUCAAUUGCACAGAUUUAAUUAUAGACUCCAGUACCAUUAAGUCAUUCAGUGCACACUGCCUAUAUACAGUACAGUAUCAUCUCUAUGUAGUGUUUCAUCAUUUAUGUAACCUUGAGGAAUAAUGGACUUGCUUUGGCAUUUGAAAAAAAAAUCAAAUACAUUCGUAGUGCCGGUAGAAAAAUCUGUAAAUCGACAUAAAAACAACUCUUUUGUAAUUUUCAUAAUUCACAUAGCUUAACAUUAAAUUUAAUUAAAGUUAUGAGACUCUAAAUCCACAAGUUCUUCUAAAACAAACCUCAAGAGUAAACAAAACGAAAUCCUCAUCUGUAAAAUAAUUAGGAAUCCAUAAGACAGUAUUAAAAUUAGACAUUUAAACAUGACUUCAGUCCGCUCAGAUCACAUUUUGGUGGCGUUAUUUAACCUGGAAUGCAGUCAGUGUAUGGACCAUCACAUCAAGCCAAAGCAACAGGUCUGCUCCCUCUGCUACAUUCAUUACAAUCUUAAUAGAGGGCCACUGGUCCAAGCUUUCUGUUCCAGAGAGAAAUACAGAUGACGAAAAAAACACAGCUUGCUCUCCAGUUUCCUCUCAAUGACUCCAUUUACAUGCACACAGUACGGUCAUUUUUUAACAAUCUCAUUGUGUUAUUUGUCUAAACUUGUACUGAUGAUGAUGAUGAUGAUGAUCUUUUGUUACUGUUUGUAUGAAAAAGGAAAAAUUGUGGGCCCUGAUGAUUUAACCAGGGUUUUUUUUAACAUUAAUUGAAAUCUGAGUAAAACUUUAAUUGAACCUUAACUAGGAUAAUUAGGUGUUGUAUAUAUGCAGUGUAAGAGGAGCCUUCUAUAAACACUCAAUUUUUUUUAACUUGAGUGUUGUGCUUAGGAUUAAGCUCAUAAUCAAACAGAUGUCUCAAUUAAAUUGAUUAUAGUUUGCACAUAUUAAAAAAUAAAAUAAGACCAAUAAAAUGUGAGCAAGUCAGAACUCCAUGUGAAUGUUUAAAAGUGGCGGCUUUGCACAAUGACAGGAAUAAGAAAUGAAUUACGGGUAUACCGGAGAUAAAUUAUUGUUGCAGGAGCUGAGUAACAGGAGGUGAAUAAAUAUCGUCACUGGACAGAUGCCAAAGUCAACAACCACAGUUCAUCAGAUCGCAUUAAAAGUACACAAUCCAUCUAUGAUCAAACCAUUUGAUAAAGUCUGCACGUAAAUGUUGCGGUGGAGCGCUAACGCUCGUCUGAAUGACGGCAGAGCGAAGAGGGCCAGCGGUCGUCCAGUCGUCACAGCAUUCCAAGAUCUUUGUUUGGGUGCGUCUUUGUCUGAUGUGCUUUUGUUACUGCCUUUUCAAUGUGUGGUAGGAGACACAACAAAAAAAA